AUGCGAGUGCUGCAUGGUUGUCGUCAGCUCGUGCCGUGAGGUGUUAGGUUAAGUCCUGUAACGAGCGCAACCCCUAUACUUAGUUACCAGCACGUAAUGGUGGGGACUCUAGGUAAACUGCCUGCGCAAGCAGAGAGGAAGGUGGGGAUGACGUCAAAUCAGCACGGCCCUUACGUCCAGGGCCACACACGUGCUACAAUGGCCGAUACAGAGGGCAGCUACCUGGUGACAGGAUGCAAAUCUCGAAAGUCGGUCUCAGUUCGGAUCGGAGUCUGCAACUCGACUCCGUGAAGUUGGAUUCGCUAGUAAUCGCGCAUCAGCCAUGGCGCGGUGAAUACGUUCCCGGGCCUU
Molecule: ribosomal RNA, 351 nt
Filed under: uncultured Sphingobacteriales bacterium
Lineage: Bacteria; Pseudomonadati; Bacteroidota; Sphingobacteriia; Sphingobacteriales
Description: bacterial SSU rRNA
Rfam family: Bacterial small subunit ribosomal RNA
Source: RNAcentral